This 27-nucleotide non-coding RNA is filed under the name Cricetulus griseus (Chinese hamster). Lineage: Eukaryota; Metazoa; Chordata; Mammalia; Rodentia; Cricetidae. The record is from RNAcentral.
AGGCCAACUGUGAAAUUUCUGUCAACG